GUGAGGAAUAUUGGACAAUGGGGGCAACCCUGAUCCAGCAAUGCCGCGUGUGUGAAGAAGGUCUUCGGAUCGUAAAGCACUUUCGACGAGGACGAUGAUGACGGUACCCGUAGAAGAAGCCCCGGCUAACUUCGUGCCAGCAGCCGCGGUAAUACGAAGGGGGCUAGCGUUGCUCGGAAUUACUGGGCGUAAAGGGCGCGUAGGCGGCUCUGUUAGUCAGGCGUGAAAUUCCUGGGCUUAACCUGGGGACUGCGCUUGAUACUGCGGAGCUUGAGGCCGAGAGAGGGUGGUGGAAUUCCCAGUGUAGAGGUGAAAUUCGUAGAUAUUGGGAAGAACACCGGUGGCGAAGGCGACCACCUGGCUCGGUACUGACGCUGAGGCGCGACAGCGUGGGGAGCAAACAGGAUUAGAAACCCGAGUAGUCC
This 425-nucleotide ribosomal RNA is filed under the name uncultured bacterium. Its description in RNAcentral is "partial 16S ribosomal RNA". It matches the Rfam family "Bacterial small subunit ribosomal RNA", at positions 354 to 796 of the family's 1533-position model. The record is from RNAcentral.